RNAcentral lists this ribosomal RNA (497 nucleotides) under uncultured bacterium. Its description in RNAcentral is "partial 16S ribosomal RNA". It matches the Rfam family "Bacterial small subunit ribosomal RNA", at positions 28 to 507 of the family's 1533-position model. The record is from RNAcentral.
GAUGAACGCUGGCGGCGUGCCUAAUACAUGCAAGUCGAGCGAACGGACGAGAAGCUUGCUUCUCUGAUGUUAGCGGCGGACGGGGGAGUAACACGUGGAUAACCUACCUAUAAGACUGGGAUAACUUCGGGAAACCGGAGCUAAUACCGGAUAAUAUUUUGAACCGCAUGGUUCAAAAGUGAAAGACGGUCUUGCUGUCACUUAUAGAUGGAUCCGCGCUGCAUUAGCUAGUUGGUAAGGUAACGGCUUACCAAGGCAACGAAGCAUAGCCGACCUGAGAGGGUGAUCGGCCACACUAGAACUGAGACGCGGUACAGGCUCCAACAGGAGGCAGCAGUAGGGAAUCUUCCGCAAAGGGCGAAAGCCUGACGGAACAACGCCGCGUGAGUGAUGGAGGUCUUCGGAUCGUAAAGCUCUGUUAAUAGGGAAAAACGUAUGUGUAAGUAACUGUGCACAUCUUGACGGUGCCUAAUCAGAAAGCCACGGCUAACUACGUG